This 378-nucleotide ribosomal RNA is filed under the name uncultured bacterium. RNAcentral describes it as "bacterial SSU rRNA". It matches the Rfam family "Bacterial small subunit ribosomal RNA", at positions 521 to 896 of the family's 1533-position model. The record is from RNAcentral.
UAAGACGUAGGGUGCAAGCGUUGUCCGGAUUUACUGGGCGUAAAGAGCGCGUAGGCGGUCUGUUAAGUGUAGAGUGAAAUCUCCAGGGCUCAACCCGGAAACUGCUCUGCAUACUGGCAGACUGGAGGGUCGAAGAGGUGUAUGGAAUUCCUGGUGUAGCGGUGAAAUGCGUUGAUAUCAGGAGGAACACCCAUGGCGAAGGCAGUACACUGGUCGGCAUCUGACGCUGAGGCGCGAAAGCGUGGGUAGCAAACAGGAUUAGAUACCCUGGUAGUCCACGCCCUAAACGAUGGAUACUAGGCGUAAGAGGUAUCGACCCCUCUUGUGCCGCAGCUAACGCACUAAGUAUCCCGCCUGGGGACUACGGCCGCAAGGUUG